GAUUCUUUCUCUAAUGAUUUAAUUAAGACUCUGCAUAAUUAAGUGCUAGAAAUUUCUUACAUAAUUAUUUCAAAUGCUCUUUCGAGAAUCUAUAACGGGGACAGUAUUUGUUGGAUCUCUGAAUCUAUUACCAAGAAUUCAGAAACACCCUUUAAAAAAAAAACACAGAGAACCUAUGCGCUACCUUCUGAUGAUGGCCACCAUUGUAAUAUGUCUUAGUUUUGCUUCCCAAAUCAGAAGCUCAAUUUUCCUCUGGGAAUCGGUGCCUUUAAUCACCACACAGUGCAUGGCACAGGAGUUUCCCACUGCACUCUCCAUUCCCUUAGAUGAAGUCUAAUGUCAACAGAGUUAUUGAUAUAAUAAAUAUUCUCCAAUAUUCUUACUUGAAACUCUUAGGAAUGCAAUUUCAUGCAUGGCCAUCUUGAUGUGGGUAAAGAUGACAAUGGAAUAUUGUUGAAACGCAGAAGAAAAAAAAGAUC
This 479-nucleotide long non-coding RNA is filed under the name Populus trichocarpa (black cottonwood). RNAcentral's name for it is "long non-coding RNA (PTRI_LNC000401)". Lineage: Eukaryota; Viridiplantae; Streptophyta; Magnoliopsida; Malpighiales; Salicaceae. The record is from RNAcentral.